UACGUAGGGUGCGAGCGUUAAUCGGAAUUACUGGGCGUAAAGCGUGCGCAGGCGGCUUCGCAAGUCAGACGUGAAAUCCCCGGGCUUAACCUGGGAAUGGCGUUUGAAACUACGGAGCUGGAGUGUGGCAGAGGGAGGUAGAAUUCCACGUGUAGCGGUGAAAUGCGCAGAUAUCAGGAGGAACACCAAUGGCGAAGGCAGCUCGCUGGGACGGUACUGACGCUGAGGCGCGAAAGCGUGGGGAGCAAACAGG
RNAcentral lists this ribosomal RNA (253 nucleotides) under uncultured bacterium. Its description in RNAcentral is "partial 16S ribosomal RNA". It matches the Rfam family "Bacterial small subunit ribosomal RNA", at positions 524 to 776 of the family's 1533-position model. The record is from RNAcentral.